UACGGAGGGGACUAGCGUUGUUCGGAAUUACUGGGCGUAAAGCGCACGUAGGCUGAUUUGUAAGUCCGCUGUGAAAUCUCGAGGCUCAACUUCGAGCUGUCGGUGGAAACUGUCUGGCUAGAGUCCGGAAGAGGAGAAUGGAAUUCCUGGUGUAGCGGUGAAAUGCGCAGAUAUCAGGAAGAACACCCGUGGCGAAGGCGGUUCUCUGGGACGGUACUGACGCUGAGACGCGAAAGCGUGGGGAGCGAACAGG
RNAcentral lists this ribosomal RNA (253 nucleotides) under uncultured bacterium. RNAcentral's name for it is "partial 16S ribosomal RNA". It matches the Rfam family "Bacterial small subunit ribosomal RNA", at positions 524 to 776 of the family's 1533-position model. The record is from RNAcentral.